This 618-nucleotide unclassified non-coding RNA is filed under the name Hevea brasiliensis (rubber tree). Lineage: Eukaryota; Viridiplantae; Streptophyta; Magnoliopsida; Malpighiales; Euphorbiaceae. The record is from RNAcentral.
GCUUCAAGAUGUCUUACAACUGGUAACUUGGCAUAUCACUUUUGGGUUUAAUAAUUCUUCUAUGCAUAAAUUAUUUUUGGGUGCUCAACCUACGGUUUACAGUUGAGAUGCAUGACACUGACAGCCCCUUUUAAGUGAAAAACUCAAAAUUAUAUUGUCUUGAUUGGAGAAGCCCACAAAGAUUGUUCAUGGAUUGAUGAUUCCAGUGAAAAGUAAAUUUGUGAUUGAUGCAAGCAACAUAAUUAUCCAUCAAUUAGCAUGAGUUCUAAAUGUUUAUGUCCAUGCAAAAUGAAAACCCUACCUUGCUUCCCGCUUGCUCUCCCACCAAAUACAAGUGGAACUUUCUUUGUUCUCUUCUGUAUUUUUUCAAAAUAUUUGCCUAUGGUCGUGAUUUUAAUUUCUUUUCUAAUUACAAAAAUGGGAAUUUUCAUAAUUGCCACACCGCACUUUCAUUUUAGUUUUACUGUAGGUGUUGAAAUUGUUCCAAUCUUGGAUGUGUUUCUAUUCCGCCUAAUUUUUCCCACUCUAAACCAUGUUAGUUUUCUGCAGACACAAAGUGCAUGCCUAAAUCUUUCCUUUUGGCUUUAGUUUGAUUCAGAACCUGAAUCUUUUUUUUUU